UACGAAGGGGGCUAGCGUUGCUCGGAAUCACUGGGCGUAAAGGGUGCGUAGGCGGGUCUUUAAGUCAGGGGUGAAAUCCUGGAGCUCAACUCCAGAACUGCCUUUGAUACUGAAGAUCUUGAGUUCGGGAGAGGUGAGUGGAACUGCGAGUGUAGAGGUGAAAUUCGUAGAUAUUCGCAAGAACACCAGUGGCGAAGGCGGCUCACUGGACCGAGACUGACGCUGAGGAGCGAAAGCGUGGGGAGCGAACAGG
Molecule: ribosomal RNA, 253 nt
Filed under: uncultured bacterium
Lineage: Bacteria
Description: partial 16S ribosomal RNA
Rfam family: Bacterial small subunit ribosomal RNA
Source: RNAcentral